CUUUGGGUGUGACUGCGUACCUUUUGUAUAAUGGGUCAGCGACUUAUAUUCUGUAGCAAGGUUAACCGAAUAGGGGAGCCGGAGGGAAACCGAGUCUUAACCGGGCGUUAAGUUGCAGGGUAUAGACCCGAAACCCGGUGAUCUAGCCAUGGGCAGGUUGAAGGUUGGGUAACACUAACUGGAGGACCGAACCGACUAAUGUUGAAAAAUUAGCGGAUGACCUGUGGCUGGGGGUGAAAGGCCAAUCAAACCGGGAGAUAGCUGGUUCUCCCCGAAAGCUAUUUAGGUAGCGCCUCGUGAAUUCAUCUCCGGGGGUAGAGCACUGUUUCGGCUAGGGGGCCAUCCCGGCUUACCAACCCGAUGCAAACUGCGAAUACCGGAGAAUGUUAUCACGGGAGACACACGGCGGGUGCUAACGUCCGUCGUGAAGAGGGAAACAACCCAGACCGCCAGCUAAGGUCCCAAAGUCAUGGUUAAGUGGGAAACGAUGUGGGAAGGCCCAGACAGCCAGGAUGUUGGCUUAGAAGCAGCCAUCAUUUAAAGAAAGCGUAAUAGCUCACUGGUCGAGUCGGCCUGCGCGGAAGAUGUAACGGGGCUAAACCAUGCACCGAAGCUGCGGCAGCGACACUGUGUGUUGUUGGGUAGGGGAGC
Molecule: ribosomal RNA, 651 nt
Filed under: Salmonella enterica
Lineage: Bacteria; Pseudomonadati; Pseudomonadota; Gammaproteobacteria; Enterobacterales; Enterobacteriaceae
Description: partial 23S ribosomal RNA
Rfam family: Bacterial large subunit ribosomal RNA
Source: RNAcentral